This is a transfer RNA of Cavia porcellus (domestic guinea pig), 57 nucleotides long. It matches the Rfam family "tRNA". Rfam says of the family: Transfer RNA (tRNA) molecules are approximately 80 nucleotides in length. Their secondary structure includes four short double-helical elements and three loops (D, anti-codon, and T loops). Further hydrogen bonds mediate the characteristic L-shaped molecular structure. tRNAs have two regions of fundamental functional importance: the anti-codon, which is responsible for specific mRNA codon recognition, and the 3' end, to which the tRNAs corresponding amino acid is attached (by aminoacyl-tRNA synthetases). tRNAs cope with the degeneracy of the genetic code in two manners: having more than one tRNA (with a specific anti-codon) for a particular amino acid; and 'wobble' base-pairing, i.e. permitting non-standard base-pairing at the 3rd anti-codon position. The record is from Rfam. NCBI's taxonomy places the organism in Eukaryota, Metazoa, Chordata, Mammalia, Rodentia, Caviidae.
GGGGAUUUAGCUCAGAGGCAUAAGCGCCUGCCUUGCAAGCAGGUAGUUCGAUCCCCG